This 497-nucleotide ribosomal RNA is filed under the name uncultured bacterium. RNAcentral describes it as "partial 16S ribosomal RNA". It matches the Rfam family "Bacterial small subunit ribosomal RNA", at positions 28 to 507 of the family's 1533-position model. The record is from RNAcentral.
GAUGAACGCUGGCGGCGUGCCUAAUACAUGCAAGUCGAGCGAACAGACGAGGAGCUUGCUCCUCUGACGUUAGCGGCGGACGGGUGAGUAACACGUGGAUAACCUACCUAUAAGACUGGGAUAACUUCGGGAAACCGGAGCUAAUACCGGAUAAUAUAUUGAACCGCAUGGUUCAAUAGUGAAAGACGGUUUUGCUGUCACUUAUAGAUGGAUCCGCGCCGCAUUAGCUAGUUGGUAAGGUAACGGCUUACCAAGGCAACGAUGCGUAGCCGACCUGAGAGGGGGAUCGGCCACACUGGAACUGAGACACGGGCCAGACUCCUACGGGAGGCAGCAGUAGGGAAUCUUCCGCAAUGGGCGAAAGCCUGACGGAGCAACGCCGCGUGAGUGAUGAAGGUCUUCGGAUCGUAAAACUCUGUUAUUAGGGAAGAACAAAUGUGUAAGUAACUAUGCACGUCUUGACGGUACCUAAUCAGAAAGCCACGGCUAACUACGUG